RNAcentral lists this ribosomal RNA (253 nucleotides) under uncultured bacterium. RNAcentral's name for it is "partial 16S ribosomal RNA". It matches the Rfam family "Bacterial small subunit ribosomal RNA", at positions 524 to 776 of the family's 1533-position model. The record is from RNAcentral.
UACAGAGGUCCCAAGCGUUGUUCGGAUUCACUGGGCGUAAAGGGUGCGUAGGCGGUUGGGUAAGUCUGUCGUGAAAUCUCCGAGCCCAACUCGGAAACUGCGUCGGAUACUAUUCAACUCGAGGAAUGGAGGGGAGACUGGAAUUCUCGGUGUAGCAGUGAAAUGCGUAGAUAUCGAGAGGAACACCAGUGGCGAAGGCGAGUCUCUGGACAUUUCCUGACGCUGAGGCACGAAAGCCAGGGGAGCGAACGGG